GCGUAUGCAAUCUACCUACAACAGGGGGAUAGCCCAGAGAAAUCUGGAUUAAUACCCCAUAAAACAGGGAUACCGCAUGGUAAUAUUUGUUAAAGAUUUAAUCGGUUGUAGAUGAGCAUGCGUCCCAUUAGCUAGUAGGUGAGGUAAUAGCUCACCUAGGCAAUGAUGGGUAGGGGUUCUGAGAGGAUGAUCCCCCACACUGGUACUGAGAUACGGACCAGACUCCUACGGGAGGCAGCAGUAGGGAAUAUUGGGCAAUGGGCGAAAGCCUGACCCAGCCAUGCCGCGUGCAGGAAGACG
This 300-nucleotide ribosomal RNA is filed under the name uncultured Flexithrix sp. Its description in RNAcentral is "bacterial SSU rRNA". It matches the Rfam family "Bacterial small subunit ribosomal RNA", at positions 115 to 413 of the family's 1533-position model. The record is from RNAcentral. Lineage: Bacteria; Pseudomonadati; Bacteroidota; Cytophagia; Cytophagales; Flammeovirgaceae.